Tribolium castaneum (red flour beetle) is the source of this 651-nucleotide long non-coding RNA. RefSeq lists it as uncharacterized. NCBI's taxonomy places the organism in Eukaryota, Metazoa, Arthropoda, Insecta, Coleoptera, Tenebrionidae. The transcript is spliced from 2 exons. The record is from RefSeq and is a predicted model, not a curated record.
UAACCAUUCGGGGGUCUGGCCUUGUCCGUAUAUUUAGUUUUGAGGUGAUCGUCUAGAGAUUGUUUGGAGGACACUACUUUGUAGUUCAAAAUUCGUUAUUUCAAGUACUGUGUGUCUGGGGAAAAGAAACUCUACGGACUUCAUUAGAAUUAUUUAUUCAACAUACUACACACAUAAUCUGCAGGUAGGCAACUCAUUUAACAGUCAAGUGGGUAGAGGACCCGUACUACGCAUAGGUAUCUCUACUAUCUAUCUCCGGCAUCAAACGGAUGUAAGCUGGGGUGUGAGAAUUUAAACAAAUUGAUUACGCGGACCCGCCCCGGGAAAUUUAAAAAGACGGUUGCAAGAGGGACUCCCAGAGGUUCCGACCACCGCGUGCUCUCCAUUCCCUAACCUUGGGUAUACAUCUCUCCCCAAGCCUCGAGUUGGGCCAUUGCACUCACUGGGACUGCCGAGGUCUUUUUCCCUAGUGUGAUGGUAAGUUCCAGAGGGAGACGGAAAGAUAGUGAUUAAACAAGCAAGUUGCCCGCGAUAAGUCCUGGAAAUCAACACGUGAUUUAAUGAAGCAAACCAGCUCACGUCGAGUUUGACACUCACAGUUGAUCGCGUUUCUAACUGCCUAAAAUAAAUGAUUUUCGGACCUACAUCUAA